Molecule: ribosomal RNA, 522 nt
Filed under: Triticum aestivum (bread wheat)
Lineage: Eukaryota; Viridiplantae; Streptophyta; Magnoliopsida; Poales; Poaceae
Description: partial small subunit ribosomal RNA
Source: RNAcentral
AUGUCGUCCGCUGUUGCCCCCGAAAAUUCAUCGUCGCCGGCCUCCGCCAUCAUAGCAGACACGUCGAGGGGCUACCACAUCCUGAAAAUCGAUGGCUACUUGCACUCCAAGGAGACCCCCACCGGUACAGACCUCAAAUCCCGCCAAUUCACCGUGUGCGGCUAUCGCUGGCGCAUCAGAUACUACCCCAACAGCGACCGCAAAGACAGUGCCGAUUACAUAGGCCUUUUCCUCAAGCUCGACGAAGCCAUCAGCAGGAAAGUGAAGGUGCAAUUCAUGUUUAGUUUCAUAGAUUCCAUGGAUAUGAAGCAUCCUUCUCUCGCAUUGUUGAAAGCGUACACCUUCGAUAGCCAAAGUCGUUCUUGGGGCCGUGGCAGGUUCAUCAAAAGGGAAGACCUGGAGAAGUCAAAUCACCUCGCGGACGAAUCUUUCACAGUCAGGUGCGACAUCGCCAUCCUCAAAAAGUUCCGCGUCAAGGUUCGUGUCCGUGCCCCCGUCCGACCUCGACCGGCACCUGGGUGA